Molecule: long non-coding RNA, 213 nt
Organism: Gopherus flavomarginatus (Mexican gopher tortoise)
Lineage: Eukaryota; Metazoa; Chordata; Testudines; Testudinidae
Exons: 3
Source: RefSeq, a predicted model, not a curated record
UCUGCAGCCUGUAAUGGGAGAUUUUCCUGCUCAGCGAGAGGGGAGGAGAGAAGAGGCAGCAGCCGCUGAGCCAAUCCCUGCAGGGUGCUGGGAGCACUGGGGGCAGGGAGGACAGGACGUUUCGGAAGCCAGAGCCGUCGUUUGCAGAGCUGGAGAAGAGACUCAGUGAUUUCUCUCUGAAAAGUGCCAUGCUGCAGGAGGUGCUGCUGGGAU